Molecule: ribosomal RNA, 274 nt
Filed under: uncultured bacterium
Lineage: Bacteria
Description: partial 16S ribosomal RNA
Rfam family: Bacterial small subunit ribosomal RNA
Source: RNAcentral
ACGUUAAGUACGGUAAUUACGUGGGACGUAAAGCGCAUGCAGGUUGGUUUAGUUAAGUCAGAUGUAGAAACGGCCCGGGGCUACAACCGUACGGUAAUUGCUAUUUAGAAACGUGGACAAACUAGAGUACUGUAGGAGGGGGUAGAAUUUCAGGUGUAGCGGUGAAAUGCGUAGAGAUCUGAAGGAAUACCGGUGGCGAAGGCGGCCCCCUGGACAGAUACUGACACUCAGAUGCGAAAGCGUGGGGAGCAAACAGGAUUAGAUACCCUGGUAG